RNAcentral lists this ribosomal RNA (474 nucleotides) under uncultured bacterium. Its description in RNAcentral is "bacterial SSU rRNA". It matches the Rfam family "Bacterial small subunit ribosomal RNA", at positions 29 to 524 of the family's 1533-position model. The record is from RNAcentral.
AACGAACGCUGGCGGCAUGCCUAACACAUGCAAGUCGAACGAGACCUUCGGGUCUAGUGGCGCACGGGUGCGUAACGCGUGGGAAUCUGCCCUUGGGUUCGGAAUAACAGUUAGAAAUGACUGCUAAAUACCGGAUAAUGUCUUCGGACCAAAGAUUUAUCGCCCAGGGAUGAGCCCGCGUAGGAUUAGCUAGUUGGUGAGGUAAAGGCUCACCAAGGCGACGAUCCUUAGCUGGUCUGAGAGGAUGAUCAGCCACACUGGGACUGAGACACGGCCCAGACUCCUACGGAGGCAGCAGUGGGGAAUAUUGGACAAUGGGCGAAAGCCUGAUCCAGCAAUGCCGCGUGGGUGAUGAAGGCCUUAGGGUUGUAAAGCUCUUUGUCAGGGAAGAAACGGUGAGUUCUAAUACAGCUUGCUAAUGACGGUACCUGAAGAAUAAGCACCGGCUAACUACGUGCCAGCAGCCGCGGUAAU